CUCCGGACUGCGGGGUUCAACUGGCGGUGUGGGCGUGACCGGGAGCGGCCUGUCUGGGAGGCGGGGCCUCCUAUAGGGCGUGGCCGUCUGGGGGCGUGGCCGUCUGGGGGCGUGGCCGCGGGAGGCUCGUCCACUUGGUCAGAGCGAGCUUGUUGGACCCUGCACAAAACCGAGGAGAGAGCGCGAUCAGGGCAUAAGGGAAACAGGAAAAGCUUUGCGCUGUUCUGCUGCCUUUCUGAUACGGGGUUCUGUGAGCGGCGGAUUAAACGUAAGGCCCCAAGAUUCCAGUGUGUGUGGUGAAUUGCCUUCUCUCCUGUAUAUUCCCAAUGGCAUUGUCUGCCGUCCUUGGAAGAACUUACAAAAUCGUCAAGAAAAUCACUUCCUGGGUCUUGUGGUUCAGAUGAGAAAGGCGUAACUGAUCCAGAGGAGUCCUCGAACAUAUCUGUGGAAUGGAGGAACAUCACUGACCCCCCGCUGGGAGUGCAGUCACAGGCUUCCCCAUUCGGACUUCGGGCUUCAGCAGUGGCUCCGAGCCCCAAAAAUGAGGAAGAGGAGACUGUUUGAGCAUGGAGGUUCUGAAAAUCUUCCCUGAAGGGUUGUAAGGAGAGUGACCUUCCAUACCCCUGCCCUUUGCCCUCUCCCUACCCUGUCUGGUGGCAUCUAGAUUUUAGAUUUCUUUCUGUCUGUAACAGUUCAUAAGACGUCUCAGGGGAGGACUGUCAAGCCUGAUGUAAGAGGGUGUUGUGUUGGACUUUGUCCAUGGCCGGGAGUAGGAGGGAGUUUAUGGGUUGUAGGAGUCAUGGGUUUAACAGAGGGAGCGUUAAGGGAAAUUUCAGGAACACUUGGUUCCUCUGUGGGUAGGUGGUUAUUAUGCACCUAUGAGAUGAUGUCUAAAUCAUAGGGAAGUUAGGGUAAGUGCCAUUCUAGACCAUUUCCACAGAGCUUGGAAGUUAAGGGGAGGUGAAAUAGAGAAAAAAGUUGUGUGUUUGUCAAGAGUGAGCAUGUUGUUGUCAGUUGGGGUGUAGUAGAGGCAAUUUGAGGUUUGGAGGUAUCAUCCAGAGAAUUGUACCUUAGUUCUGCAGACAGAACAAAGACCAAAGGAAAGGACGGAAUGAACCAUUAUCUGGCACACUACUAGUGUUCAAACACUAAUUCAUCAGCAAAUAUUUAUUAAGGGGCAGACUGUGCUGGGUUCCAGGAAUGGAACCACGAGCAAGGCCAUCUUGGUCCCCACACGUGAGGGUUGCUUGGAGUUUGAUGAGGGACAGGUGCUGCCCAUCGAUAGCAUCAUAAGGAGUGCUGGGUGGGGUUCCAGAGGAAGCUACGAAGAAGGCAGGGUGUGACUGCGUCUUUCUUGCACAGGUUUUGUGAAGGUGUUUACACAUGUGCACUUGGCAGGAAGGCUGUGGGGAGCCUGGGGGUGCAUGAACAACAUCCAGGGUUGGCCAGAGAGGCCAUGGCCCAGGGCGUUGGCAAAGAGCCUGAGCCACCAGAGAAACUGAAAGCAGUUCAGUCAGUCCUGCGUGUCUGCGUGUUGGAGGAUGGGGGGGCUUUGGAUGAGAAGUGAUGAGAGCUGAAGACGGAGACCAAAGACUGUGUGUGACUGUGGGAAAUCUGUUGAGAAUUACAGCCUUUCUCCAGCACUGGAAUUCCUAACUGUGUUUUACAAAAUGUUUUGGUGGCAUAAACCCUUUGGCAGCCUGACAAAACCUAUAAACUCCUUUGAAGAAUAAUGUUUUUGUUUAAAUAAAACACACAAGAUUAAAAAGGAAACCAUUUGUAUUGAAAUACAGUGAGCCAACUUUGUGAUAUAUUAAAACCAUAUUGAAACCUC
Chinchilla lanigera (long-tailed chinchilla) is the source of this 1834-nucleotide long non-coding RNA. RefSeq lists it as uncharacterized. Lineage: Eukaryota; Metazoa; Chordata; Mammalia; Rodentia; Chinchillidae. The record is from RefSeq and is a predicted model, not a curated record. The transcript has 2 exons.